GCUUGUGGGUGCCGUUCGUCUUUCUUUUGGUUCCAAUUCAUUAUUGUGUCGAAUAAUUAGGAAGUGUUAAUGUAAUGUUGAGUUAAUGCGAAAGAAUAGCUUUACCUGCUAACACUAAUAUCCAACAAUUAACGUAUGAUUAUAUGGACAUACUAAGUUGCAAUGUACAUUUUAAAAAUUUGUGAUUUAUAAUUCAAAAAUUUGGUUUUUAUAACUAUGAGGUAUUACCAAGAGAUUUCUUUGUAAUUUUUCGAGAUGUAGUUCUAUUGAAUACAUAUUUGCAAAUAUUUUGUAGUUGUUGGAUAUGUCUUUGUUUAUUAGAAAUUAAUAUUGUUCUUUCUUGUGAAUGAUUGAAGAUAAGUAUGUUAUUUUUCUUUUUGAAGUUCUACUAAAUGUGAAUUAUAAAACGAUGUGUUACUGAUUUUUUUAAUUAAUAUAUUUUUAACUUAAAAACGAAAUAUUUUUAGAUUUUUUUAAUUGCUUUUUGGUUUACAUAAAAAUAAAAAUAAAAAAAAAUCAAACGAGAAUCUUUAAAUUAGAUGUGAAUUCUUUUUAACUUUGUAUAUUCUAAGAUAAUUUUGAUCCAACUAAACAGUUAUAAUUGUCUUAUGAAUGUUUGUUUUAUUGUGGCUGUGUUACAUGGAUAUUGUAUUUGGUGGUAUCAUACUAGGGGUCACUUUUCCUCAACAAAAUUGAUUAAUAAUUACUUAGCGAAAAACUUUUGUAUUCAGCUUUAGAAUUCAUACUGAUCUUUAUUCCACUUUCUUAUUAUUGUUUUCCUAAGAUUUUAUAUGUGGUUUAAGAAGGCAUUAUUUUCAUCUAACCUAUUAGCUAUAAUUUUCAAAAUUUUAGGUUGUAUUUUGAUUUAAGAUUUAUAUAUAUAUAUAUAUAUAUAUAUACUUAAAAACACAUAACUAAUCUAAAGAAGGCUUGUAGAUGUAUAAUAAAUUUUGUAAAAAAUUACAGAGAACAGAUACAAAAAAAACAUCUAAAGUUUAAACCUAAAUUUUUCAACAAAUUUAAAAGAUUUCAGACGGCCCAUAAAAUUUUAGACUGUAGAGACGGUAGUGUUGUAAGAUAGAAAAUUAAAUUUUUCUAUUA
Molecule: long non-coding RNA, 1101 nt
Filed under: Physcomitrium patens
Lineage: Eukaryota; Viridiplantae; Streptophyta; Bryopsida; Funariales; Funariaceae
Description: long non-coding RNA (PPAT_LNC003534)
Source: RNAcentral